RNAcentral lists this long non-coding RNA (340 nucleotides) under Salvia miltiorrhiza (redroot sage). RNAcentral describes it as "long non-coding RNA (SMIL_LNC001530)". Lineage: Eukaryota; Viridiplantae; Streptophyta; Magnoliopsida; Lamiales; Lamiaceae. The record is from RNAcentral.
AACCAAAAUUGGGUUACAUCGUUAACACAAAGAAAAUGGCAGAAUAUAUAAUGUUUGUUGAUAAGAGCCAAUCAAAGUUGUAAACUGUAUCAUAUACGAAACUAGUAGUUUUAAUUUUAAUGAUAUCAUUUACCAAAGCAGCAUGUCAGAAUUAUUUGCGACCUUCCACCUUCUUUUGUUCUUUAGCGGGUUUCUCUUUUUUAUGUCUGCUCUUUGCUGCCGUAUAAGAGCCAAACGUUUGAAAUCCUUCCUUUUGAUCUAUCUUCUCUUGUUCUUGCAGCCUCGUAUAUCUUUUAUGAGCUUUCUGUUUCUCAAUUUCCUCUCUUUCACGCCCUGAAAA